GACAGAGGUGCCGAGCGUUAGGCGGAAUCACUGGGCUUAAAGCGUGUGUAGGCGGAGUUCUAAGUACCUUGUGAAAUCCCACGGCUUAACCGUGGAACUGCUUGGUAUACUGGUUCUCUUGGGCCAUCUAGGGGCUACUGGAACAAACGGUGGAGCGGUGAAAUGCGUAGAUAUCAGGAGGAACACCGAUGGCGAAGGCAGCUCGCUGGGACGGUACUGACGCUGAGGCGCGAAAGCGUGGGGAGCAAACAGG
This 253-nucleotide ribosomal RNA is filed under the name uncultured bacterium. RNAcentral's name for it is "partial 16S ribosomal RNA". It matches the Rfam family "Bacterial small subunit ribosomal RNA", at positions 524 to 776 of the family's 1533-position model. The record is from RNAcentral.